GAACGUAGAAGAUCUAACCGUUAUAAUAUAUUAGUAUUAAUUAUAAAUAAUGUUACAUUUAUUAUUUCAUUAAUGCCGGUUAGGGGUGAAAUGCUUUCAAUUCUUACAUAUCUGGAUUUAUAUUAAAUAUAUUUAGUAUAGGAUAAGUUUCUCAAAUUUGAAAUAUUAAGAUUUCAAAUAUAAAUUAAAAUUACUUAGUUUUUUAUGUAUGUAAGUGCUAAACCACUUAUAGAUAAUAGUAAUAGAAUUAAUUUAUAAUUAUUUAAUAGGUGUAAUAUAAUGAUUUUUAAAAUUUAUUUAAAAAGUUAAUAAUGUUUAAAUUAGUUAUAAUAUAAAAUUUUAAUAAGGAACUCGGCAAAUAUAUUUUUCGUCUGUUUAACAAAAACAUAGCUUAAUGUAAUUAAUAUUAAGUGAUUUCUGCCCUGUGAAUUUUUUAACGGCCGCAGUACCUUGACUGUGCUAAGGUAGCAUAAUAAAUUGGCUUUUAAUUGGAGUCUAGUAUCAACGGAGUGUCGGAAAAUAACUGUCUCUUUAGAAUUAUACUAAAGUUGCUUAAAAGGUGAAAAUACCUUUAAUAAUAAUAUAGACAAGAAGACCCUAAGAAUUUUUAUAAUAUGAAUUUAUACUAAUUUAUUUAUUUUUGUUGGGGCGACAAGGUAACAGUAAACUUACCUUUAAAUAUAUUACAAGUCAGUAUAUAUUUAGUCAGAUUAAAUUACCUUAGGGAUAACAGCAUAAUAUAGUUUUGAUUGUGACCUCGAUGUUGGAUUAGGUAAAUUAAUAGCUAGCAGUUAUUAAAUUUAGUUCUGUUCGAACUUUUAUACCUACAUGAUCUGAGUUCAGACCGGCGUAAGCCAGGUCAG
Molecule: ribosomal RNA, 863 nt
Filed under: Afrorhytida kraussi
Lineage: Eukaryota; Metazoa; Mollusca; Gastropoda; Stylommatophora; Rhytididae
Description: partial 16S ribosomal RNA
Source: RNAcentral